RNAcentral lists this unclassified non-coding RNA (199 nucleotides) under uncultured Exophiala. RNAcentral's name for it is "sequence contains ITS1". The record is from RNAcentral. Lineage: Eukaryota; Fungi; Ascomycota; Eurotiomycetes; Chaetothyriales; Herpotrichiellaceae.
ACGAGUUAGGGUCUUCUCAGGCCCGACCUCCCAACCCUUUGUUUACCCGACCCAUGUUGCUUCGGCGGGCCCGCCGUUUCGACGGCCGCCGGAGGACCGCCUAUUCAGGUCCUCUGGCCCGCGCCCGCCGGUAGCCAAUUCUACCAAACUCUUGAAUCAAAUCGUGUCCAAUGUCUGAGUAUAUUACAAAAUAAAAGCA